GCGGGUGUCGUAUAGUGGUAUUAUGUGUCCUUGCCAAGGACAAAACACGGGUCCGAUUCCCGUCACCCGCU
Molecule: transfer RNA, 71 nt
Filed under: Candidatus Azambacteria bacterium
Lineage: Bacteria; Candidatus Azamiibacteriota
Description: tRNA-Gly
Rfam family: tRNA
About the family: Transfer RNA (tRNA) molecules are approximately 80 nucleotides in length. Their secondary structure includes four short double-helical elements and three loops (D, anti-codon, and T loops).
Source: RNAcentral